CGAAAGUUAGCUCAGUGGUAGAGCGAUCGACUGUUAAUCGAUAUGUUGUAGGUUCAACUCCUAUACUUUCUCCCAACCC
Molecule: transfer RNA, 79 nt
Filed under: Nostoc sp. PCC 7120 = FACHB-418
Lineage: Bacteria; Bacillati; Cyanobacteriota; Cyanophyceae; Nostocales; Nostocaceae
Description: tRNA-Asn
Rfam family: tRNA
About the family: Transfer RNA (tRNA) molecules are approximately 80 nucleotides in length.
Source: RNAcentral